CGCGGCCUAUCAGCUUGUUGGUGAGGUAAUGGCUCACCAAGGCGACGACGGGUAGCCGGCCUGAGAGGGCGACCGGCCACACUGGGACUGAGACACGGCCCAGACUCCUACGGGAGGCAGCAGUGGGGAAUAUUGCACAAUGGGCGAAAGCCUGAUGCAGCGACGCCGCGUGAGGGAUGACGGCCUUCGGGUUGUAAACCUCUUUCAGCAGGGAAGAAGCGAAAGUGACGGUACCUGCAGAAGAAGCACCGGCUAACUACGUGCCAGCAGCCGCGGUAAUACGUAGGGUGCGAGCGUUGUCCGGAAUUACUGGGCGUAAAGAGCUCGUAGGCGGUUUGUCGCGUCGUCUGUGAAAUCCUACAGCUUAACUGUGGGCGUGCAGGCGAUACGGGCAGACUUGAGUACUACAGGGGAGACUGGAAUUCCUGGUGUAGCGGUGAAAUGCGCAGAUAUCAGGAGGAACACCGGUGGCGAAGGCGGGUCUCUGGGUAGUAACUGACGCUGAGGAGCGAAAGCAUGGGUAGCGAACAGGAUUAGAUACCCUGGUAGUCCAUGCCGUAAACGGUGGGCGCUAGGUGUGGGUUUCCUUCCACGGGAUCCGUGCCGCAGCUAACGCAUUAAGCGCCCCGCCUGGGGAGUACGGA
This 644-nucleotide ribosomal RNA is filed under the name uncultured Actinomycetes bacterium. RNAcentral describes it as "bacterial SSU rRNA". It matches the Rfam family "Bacterial small subunit ribosomal RNA", at positions 232 to 886 of the family's 1533-position model. Lineage: Bacteria; Bacillati; Actinomycetota; Actinomycetes. The record is from RNAcentral.